CCUGAGCCUCCCUGAGAGCAUGGCUGUCCUGGUGCUGCUCCUCUGCCUGGUGACCUUCCCAAGCUGUGCCCUGUCCCAGGUGCAGCUGAAGGAGUCAGGACCCGGCUUGGUGCAGCCCUCACAGCCCCUGUCUCUCACCUGCACUGUCUCUGGGUUCUCAUUAAACAGCUAUGGUAUACACUGGGUUCGCCAACCUCCAGGAAAGGGUCUGGAGUGGAUGGGUGUUAUAUGGAGUGGUGGAAGCACAGAUUAUAAUUCAGCCCUCAAAUCCAGACUCAGCAUCAGCAGGGACACCUCCAAGAGCCAAGUUUUCUUAAAAAUGAACAAUCUGCAAACUGAGGACACAGCUGUGUACUACUGUGCCAGAGACACAGUGAGGGAACUCCAGUGUGAGCCUGCACAAAAACCUCCUCACUGUAGGGAUGCUCAUGACCAGCAGGGGGCGAUGAGGACCAACAGAGAAGUCUCAGCACCAGUGAGGGUCACUUUGAUUCUAGGAAGAUCAGGUCUACGCUGCAUGACCCUGUAUUCAGUGUUAGAACCUGCUGAUAUUUCUUCCAGUCAAGAAAAUCCUCUAGAAACCUCACUGUAG
Meriones unguiculatus (Mongolian gerbil) is the source of this 592-nucleotide non-coding RNA. The record is from the annotation of a RefSeq genome assembly. Lineage: Eukaryota; Metazoa; Chordata; Mammalia; Rodentia; Muridae.